AACGAACGCUGGCGGCACGUUUUAAGCAUGCAAGUCGAACGGCAGUGGGGGCAACCCCAUGAGAGUGGCGAACGGGCGAGUAACCCGUAGGUGAUCUGCCUUUGGGUUGGGGAUAGCUUGGGGAAACACAGGGUAAUACCGAAUGAGCUGAGGAGGCUUUGGCCAUGUUAGUAAAGGGGCUACGCAACCGCCAAGAGAGGAGCCUGGGGCUGAUUAGCUAGUUGGUGGGGUAAAGGCCUACCAAGGCGACGAUCAGUAGCCGGCCUGAGAGGGUGUACGGCCACACUGGAACUGAGACACGGUCCAGACUCCUACGGGAGGCAGCAGCUAAGAAUCUUCCGCAAUGGGCGAAAGCCUGACGGAGCGAUGCCGCGUGAUCGAUGAAGGUCGAGAGAUUGUAAAGAUCUUUUCCAACUGAGGAAUAAGUGGACCAGGGAAUGGGUUCAUGAUGACGUUAAGUUGGGAAUAAGCCCCGGCUAAUUACGUGCCAGCAGCCGCAGUAA
RNAcentral lists this ribosomal RNA (503 nucleotides) under uncultured bacterium. Its description in RNAcentral is "partial 16S ribosomal RNA". It matches the Rfam family "Bacterial small subunit ribosomal RNA", at positions 29 to 523 of the family's 1533-position model. The record is from RNAcentral.